UUCGGUGGGGAUUAGUGGCGAACGGGUGAGUAACACGUGGGCAAUCUGCCCUUCACUCUGGGACAAGCCCUGGAAACGGGGUCUAAUACCGGAUAACACUCCCUCUCUCAUGGGUGGGGGUUAAAAGCUCCGGCGGUGAAGGAUGAGCCCGCGGCCUAUCAGCUUGUUGGUGAGGUAAUGGCUCACCAAGGCGACGACGGGUAGCCGGCCUGAGAGGGCGACCGGCCACACUGGGACUGAGACACGGCCCAGACUCCUACGGGAGGCAGCAGUGGGGAAUAUUGCACAAUGGGCGAAAGCCUGAUGCAGCGACGCCGCGUGAGGGAUGACGGCCUUCGGGUUGUAAACCUCUUUCAGCAGGGAAGAAGCGAAAGUGACGGUACCUGCAGAAGAAGCGCCGGCUAACUACGUGCCAGCAGCCGCGGUAAUACGUAGGGCGCAAGCGUUGUCCGGAAUUAUUGGGCGUAAAGAGCUCGUAGGCGGCUUGUCACGUCGGGUGUGAAAGCCCGGGGCUUA
RNAcentral lists this ribosomal RNA (516 nucleotides) under Streptomyces phaeoluteigriseus. RNAcentral's name for it is "bacterial SSU rRNA". It matches the Rfam family "Bacterial small subunit ribosomal RNA", at positions 81 to 611 of the family's 1533-position model. The record is from RNAcentral. Lineage: Bacteria; Bacillati; Actinomycetota; Actinomycetes; Kitasatosporales; Streptomycetaceae.